RNA transcript from Xenia sp. Carnegie-2017, 2360 nucleotides. It is a transcript of the gene named TNFAIP3-interacting protein 3-like, with no coding region annotated. The transcript has 17 exons. The record is from RefSeq and is a predicted model, not a curated record. NCBI's taxonomy places the organism in Eukaryota, Metazoa, Cnidaria, Anthozoa, Malacalcyonacea, Xeniidae.
AAAGUUCAAACAAUUUCUUAACCGCGCGGAAACAAGUGGUAGACUGGAACCAAAUUCACUAACGACAGCCGUAAGACAAUGAUGUAUAUGAUGAACUAAACUCUAAGAAAAAGCUGGAAUUUCUUGUGUUUACCACUUGAAUUUUACUACAUUCGGCUUCUUUAUGCUGGGUAUGAAGACAUUCCUGGAUAAAUAGUUGAACUUAUUCUCUAUUGUACUAGAAUAUUCAUGUUGGAGAACUGUAUCUACAUUUAAUGAUUGAAAAAUUAGAAAAUUUGCUGCUGUGAAACAUUGUUAUUGAGAAAUCAUGGAUGAAAACAAUUUAACUCAAGCUCAAUAUAAUCUACUUAAGGAAAGAGAAAACCUUUUAAAAACUAAACAUAAACUUUCUACUCUUGGUGAACAAAGAAAGUCAAAAUCCACGAUGUUGAAAUUGUGGACAGUGAAAUACUUGCAUUGGUUGCAGAUGAAGAACCUAUAUCUUUAUCAUGGGACUUUGAAACUCUUGGGAUAAAAGAGGAUAGUAAAAAAGUAACUCGUGAAGCUUUUUUGGAUAAUCAUCUCACAAAAAUUGACAAAAAACUUCGUGCAGUUGAAGAAGAAAUGGCAAAAACUAAAAUUUUCGAAAAACUAACUCUUUUGACCCAUCUUUACAUGAAGUAGUGGGUUGAAAAAAAGUAAGAAGAAGAUUAUGAUGAUGUUAAUGAUGUUAUGUUAAAUCCAACUGCAAAAGUUGAUCUUCAGCAGAAACAAAUUACAUCGUUGAUGAAACAGUUAAACGAAUAUGAGGUAAAGUUACAACAUUUGGUAAAUGAAAAUAAUUUGCUUAAUAAAGACAAACAAGAGUUGUUAAAAGUCAACAAAGAAUGGGACAAACAACACAGACUUUUAAACCACGAAAAAAAACGUAUUGAAGCUGAGUUUCGUAUGAGAUAUGGAGGAGUGGAGGAGGCUAUGCCUUUGCAGCGGAAAUCUCCGAAUUUUACUGUUGACGAAGACCUGAAGAAAACGAUAGUAGACUUGAGUACAAAUAAUGAAUCCUUAAUGAUUGAGAUUUCUCAACUCAAGGAGGAAUGUAAAAAACGGGAUAGUGUUUGUUUUUCUGCAAAAAAACUUCUGCAGGAAGAACGAAGUGCAAAAGAAGCGUUGAUGCAGACAAAAUUGGUUGGCGAUGAAAAAGUGAAUGAACUACAGACUCAGUUGGAAAGAGAAAAACAAAGAAAUGCGAUUUUGAAACAAGAAGUUGAACGAUUGGUGAACGUCUAUCCUACAGAAAAUAAUUCCAGUCUCCCUUCGCUCAAUGUGACUGAACAGAUUGAAAUGUUAAAGCAACAGAUCUCUGUCUAUGCUGACGACUUUGCGUCAGAACGUGCCGAUCGUGAGCGCAUUCAAGCAGACAGAGAAAACCAGAGAAAUCAAAUUAUCGACUUGACGAGGGAGAAUAAUUUACUCCAAGAUCAGCUCCAUCUUUAUCACAAUGAUUUUGAAAAGGAGCGAAGAGAAAAAGAAAGAUUGCAAAAAUUACUUAAAGAGCAUGGACGAGCAUCGCAGCAACCUGAAGAACCUUGGUAUAUGGUUCCUCCUACAGAAUACAUCCCUAUGCAUAAUCCAAAUAGACACCAAGCUUGGUUACAUCAAGGUAACAUACCACAUCGUUAUUCACCACAAGAAGUUCAAGAACUUGCAUUUCAACAACAACAGAUAUUUCAUUAGAAGAUGUCAUAGUCCCUCCCCCCCGGGAUGAAUGCUAAAGAUUCAACACCUCAAUUCUAAAAUGGCAGACGAGGGAACUGAAAGUAUUCAAAAUGAAAAUGCUUUUCAUGACCAAAUGCCGCUCUAUUCCGAAAACUACGAUGCAAAAAGGACGAAAAUGAAAAAAGCAAUAUUUUUUGGACUUGUUGGUUUACUUGUUUUAAUCACAGUAAUCCUGUCAUUCUCUAGAGGAAUUUCAAAACAUGUUUCUUAUGUUUUGUUAGGAUUUAGCAUCAUUUGUAUAAUGCUUGUUGAAUGUGCUUUGUGUUGGCUUCAUAAAAUUGGACAACUUGACAAUGAGAAAGAAUGGUUUAUAUAUUUUGUUGGAGUUUGUAUAAUUAUUGAAUCUGUUUUUACUGAUGUUUUGUUAUUUGACUAAAUAGACUUUAUGGAAACCUGAGAAAUUUUUGCAUUUGUUGUAUUAAUGUCUCAGUUGGAAUAAGAGAGAUAUAAAAAUUAUUAGACUAGAUAUUUUAUAGAAAAAUAACAAUGUGUGAUUGCUUAUCUUAAGGUUUUGUAUUUAAAAUUUGGUGUGUACGUAUAGCUCAAUGAUGCCUAAAUAGAUGACUAAUUUGCAUUAUGUACAAUACAUGUUGUUUCUCUCUGUA